This 519-nucleotide ribosomal RNA is filed under the name uncultured Paraglomus. RNAcentral's name for it is "SSU rRNA". It matches the Rfam family "Eukaryotic small subunit ribosomal RNA", at positions 569 to 1091 of the family's 1831-position model. Lineage: Eukaryota; Fungi; Glomeromycota; Glomeromycetes; Paraglomerales; Paraglomeraceae. The record is from RNAcentral.
AGCAGCCGCGGUAAUUCCAGCUCCAAUAGCGUAUAUUAAAGUUGUUGCAGUUAAAAAGCUCGUAGUUGAAUUUCAGGCCUGGCUGGACGGUCCGCCCUUCGGGUGAGUACUGUCUGUGGUCGGGUCCUACCUUCUGGCGAAGCGUCAUGGCCUUAACCGGCCGUGGCGGGGAACCAGGACUUUUACUGUGAAAAAAUUAGAGUGUUCAAAGCAGGCAAUCGCUUGGAUACAUUAGCAUGGAAUAAUGGAAUAGGACGAUGGUUCUAUUUGUUGGUUUCUAGGACCGUUGUAAUGAUUAAUAGGGAUAGUUGGGGGCAUUAGUAUUCAAUUGUCAGAGGUGAAAUUCUUGGAUUUAUUGAAGACUAACUACUGCGAAAGCAUUUGCCAAAGGAUGUUUUCAUUAAUCAAGAACGAAAGUUAGGGGAUCGAAGACGAUCAGAUACCGUCGUAGUCUUAACCAUAAACUAUGCCGACUAGGAAUCGGGCGAUGUUGACAAAAUGACGCGCUCGGCACCUCAU